UCUCUGAUAGUCUAGUGGUUAGGAUUCAGUGCUUUCAGUGCUGUAGCCUGGGUUCAAUCCCUGGUUUGGGAA
Molecule: transfer RNA, 72 nt
Filed under: Sus scrofa (pig)
Lineage: Eukaryota; Metazoa; Chordata; Mammalia; Artiodactyla; Suidae
Rfam family: tRNA
About the family: Transfer RNA (tRNA) molecules are approximately 80 nucleotides in length. Their secondary structure includes four short double-helical elements and three loops (D, anti-codon, and T loops). Further hydrogen bonds mediate the characteristic L-shaped molecular structure. tRNAs have two regions of fundamental functional importance: the anti-codon, which is responsible for specific mRNA codon recognition, and the 3' end, to which the tRNAs corresponding amino acid is attached (by aminoacyl-tRNA synthetases). tRNAs cope with the degeneracy of the genetic code in two manners: having more than one tRNA (with a specific anti-codon) for a particular amino acid; and 'wobble' base-pairing, i.e. permitting non-standard base-pairing at the 3rd anti-codon position.
Source: Rfam by way of RNAcentral